Molecule: long non-coding RNA, 349 nt
Organism: Solea solea (common sole)
Lineage: Eukaryota; Metazoa; Chordata; Actinopteri; Pleuronectiformes; Soleidae
Exons: 3
Source: RefSeq, a predicted model, not a curated record
UACAUCCACUAACUCUGCAAUCAAGAAAAGAAGAUGGGGGAAGUGUCCAUCCCUUUGAAACGGAGUUUCAUUGGCGUGACAACUGUGAUUGUGAUCCUCGAUGUCAUACUGGUGGGACUUCUGAUUGCUAAUGGACACCUCUCUUAUGCUACAAAGAUUGAACUCAUGCAUAUUCCGUUUUACUUGACCAUGACAAAUCUGGUUUUGAUCAUCGUUGGUGUGUUUGGUGUCUACAAAAAGAAGAAGUGGGCUCUCGUAGUGGUGGGUCAUUUUAAGUUAGUGACUACAGGAAAUGCCUUUCACAGAAUUUGGUUGCUCAUAUCUUUUUGUGUCUCAGUUUACAGUUGGA